AAUCAAGAUGUCAGGGAAAACACCCAUCGGGAGCUACAGCCCUAAACAGCACAAUACUCCAGACACGGCCGACACAGAGAAGCCAGCAGAGAGGAGUACCUGUGCAGCGGCAGGGGUUUGAUCCGCGGCUUCUCGGAAGCUGAAGAUAGCGUUUUAAUCUGAGGCUUGGCUGUCGGGGAGGUUUCCAAAUCUCGGCUAAGCUCAGCUUCAGUUUUCUUAAUAAAUUCAUCAUACGACUAC
Molecule: long non-coding RNA, 240 nt
Organism: Ochotona princeps (American pika)
Lineage: Eukaryota; Metazoa; Chordata; Mammalia; Lagomorpha; Ochotonidae
Exons: 2
Source: RefSeq, a predicted model, not a curated record